AGCAGAAGGGUAAGCAGGACAGUGACUAACGUAGCAUCACGCCUCAUUGGAGAGGAAGAUACUGUCUACAACGUGAGCAUCAAUGCACCAAAAGGGUUACGAGUCAGAGUGAUACCAAGAAGUCUACACUUCAAGAAUAUAGGAGAUACGCUAAGAUACCAAGUGAUCUUUUCAUCUUCUACAUCCACACUUAAAGAAGAUGCGUUUGGUUCAAUCACAUGGUCUAAUGGAAUGUACAGAGUUAGAAGUCCGUUCGUUGUAACAAGCAAAGCUGAUAUAUAAUAUGUUUUUCUAAAACCAUAUAAUAAAAGAGAAAUAAGGUUUGUUACACACUCAAUUAUUCAAACCAAAAGAAAAAAGAGACAACAUAACACAACUUCAAGUCACUCAAAGGCCCAUGCAUUCUCCUUGCGAACCUCAGCUUCUUCCGCAUCUGUGUAGUCUUUCUUGAUGUGGAAGAUUUCGCGAAUCUGAAGCACAGUCUUGCCUCUCAUCAUAGUCUUGCACGUUAGGUCAAGAAGUCCAGGGAUGAUCAGAAAGUUUGCAGCCUACAAAACAUAUCAUCAAAACCCUAACAGAAUCAUGAAUGAUUAGAAACCCUAAUUGGCUAAGAAAACGUGACUCACAAGCAUGAGAUCAAAGAGGAGAGGCUGGUCGACUUUGACGAAUUCUUCGUCCCAAGUCUUGAGCUCGAUGUCUUUGUUAGCACCGUAGAUGUCUUUGUCUCCGGCGUUGGCUUCGGCGGCUGCGGCUGCUUCGACGUGUUUCUUGCAGUAGUCGAUAACCUUGGUGAGGGUUGCACUGUUGACGUUUGCAAGAGGGAUUCCGCCAUCGGUGCAGUCGUCCUCGAUCAUGUUCUUGAUCGUCUGACACUCGAGCGCAACGGCUUCAUCGACCUCGAAAGAUUCGCCUUCGGAGCUCUCGAAGAUGAUCUUCUUCGACAUAGUUGGCAGAAUAUUCUAAAAGGCAGAGAGGGAGAUGAGAUGACGAAUGAAUACAAAAGGUGGUGGAUCGGUGCUUUAUUUAUAGGACCUGAUUGUUAAAACUAGAGAAUCGAAAUUAUAUAUUAACAUUGGUUUUUUGUUAGAGAAAAAGACAAGGAUAGCACCAAAACAAUUUUUUGUUCCCAAAGUAGCACUCAAAGCUCAAAGUCACAAAAAUAGGUUUCAUUAAAGAGGUAAAUAUACAUUUAUAUCCCUUGGGUUAAUUAAUCCAAACCUUAGGGUUUAGAGUUAAGGGGUGGGGUUUUGGAAUUAGGAUUUAAAAUUUUAUAAAAAAUAAAUACUAAAAUAAAAAAUAAAAAUUUUAAAAACAGUUUUAAAAAGUAUUUUUAAAUUAUAAAAAGAAAAUUUGAAAAAAAAAUAAAAAAAAUUUCAAAAAAAAAUUUCAAAAAAAAAGUUAUAAAAAUUUCGAAUCUGAAAACAUAUAAUCUGAAACUAUGAAAAAAUUUCUUUUUCUCAUUUUUUUUAUUUUUAUUUUAUUUAUUUUUGUUUGUUUAUUUAAUUUUAAACCAAGGGUAUUAGGGAUAUUUUAUUCUUUAAUAAAUGUCAUUUUUGUGACUUUCUCCUUCUAGUGCUAUUUUUGAGACAUAAACUUCAAAAGGUGCUAUUAUUGACAAUUGUCAUUUUUGUUAUCCAGGAAAUGAAUAAAAAAAUGUAAAUAUAUACUUCCAAAAUUUAAUAUGAAAUUUCCAUCUUCGGAUGAUGAUACGGAUGAAAAAGCUUUCAAAAUUGUAAAGUAAUUUUGGAAAAUAAGGAAAGGUAAAUUCAAAGAUUUUUUUUUGGGUGAACUUAGGAACUAUUACUAGGCUGUAAAUUUAAAUACACUUAAUAUAGACAUGGCUUACAAUAUACUAAAAGAAUAAAUAUAUCUUGAAAUAAAAAUGUCUUUUUUCAAAUUAAAAAAUAUGAUUUCUUGCCUUGUUUAUGUCCAAUGCAAUUUAUAGACAUAUAUCGUUUAGGCUGUCAAGCUGACAUGUCUUGGGAUAGGGCUGGACAUAAAUAUCUGCACCCAAAAAACCCACCCGGAACCGAUCCACAAAUAAGGGUAUCCGACCCGAUCGGAUUUUGCCUAAAUAUCCGAAAAGAUUUUUUUUUCAAAACCCAAAUAAACGAAAUCAAAUCCGAUCCGCACCGAAAAUCGAAUGAGAUCCAAACAUAUAAUUAUAUUUAUAUUAAUAUUAAUACCUAAAAUUAAAAUUAAAUAUAAUAGUUAUUUUGGGUAUCUAUAGAUAAAUAGGGAUGUUUCAGAUACAUAUAUCCAAAUAACAUUGUAUCUAUGGUUGUUGUAAAAAAACAUUGUAUCUAUGGUUACUUUCGGACAAGAAAAUAACCAAUUUGAACUAUAUAUUGAGUAUUUUUGGUUUAUGUUAUUUUAGAUAAGUUUGAGUAGUUUAUAUAUAAAAUGUCGGAGUUGAAUCGAGUAAUUUGGUUAUUUUGGUUAAAACCCAACCCCACCCGGUUUCGGGCUAACCCAUUUUUUAUAAUACCCGAAUGGGACUAUUUUUCAAAAUCCAAAAAAUCUGGUAUCCGAAUGGGUAGUAUCCAUAUCUGAAUGGAUAUUCGAACGACCAUGCCUAUAUUAGGAUGUGACUAGACGAUCUAACUAGAAAACCAGAUUCUACAUUUUCUAGGUAGUCUAGGGUAUCAGCAGGACCGUCUUAAGCAAUUUAAUUGUUUUCAGUGAAGUACUUAAUAUGAGCUCUUUUGAAAACAUUUUCUUAACUUUUAUUUCUUGCAUUUUCUUAAGUUGGACCUUUUUUUUUUUUUGAAACAUUCUUAAGUUGGACCAAUAGAAUUUUUUAAUCUGGAAAAACUAUAAAAUAGUGAAACCAUACAGCUUUUUUAUAGGGUUUUGUCUUGUUGUGUGUUAGUUAGUUUUAGUUGAUUAUAUGGACCUUUUAUUAUAACUUUACCAAGUAUUUAAUCUUUCAACAAUUUAAAAUACAGACCUCAGGCAUGGCUGAAUUUCUCGACAGUGUUGGAAGAGAUUCAAGAAAUAUUUCAGGAUAAGCUAUACUUGUCGAUCAGAAACAGAAUAGGACUGCAGAUCAUUUAGCUAGAUCCGCUCGAUCUUUCAUAGGUUUCUUUCUUACGUUGGUUAUUCAUUCCGAUCUGAUUAACCAGACCACUUUAAAAUUGAAUAAUAAAAUAGUUUUUUUUUUGUUGUAAAAAAGUUGAAAUGAACCUUUAUAAUUAAUAAAAUAACUAAAAAUUUUAUGCGCCCGUGUAUCCAGGGCAACCACCUCUAUAGCCAUGGUCAAGGGCCGGGACUGCAUAUCGGCAAUAUGACUCUUGCAUUAUUCGGUAACGAUGGUCAUGAUACUUACUGCCCAAUCAAGAUUAUGCAUCGGUGCUAUGGAAACUGCUAACUUAAUAAUGAAAGCCAAGACGAUCAUGCCCUCGGAGCUCCUCUCAUCAAAAAAUAAUUAGUUAAGCAAAAUAUACCCUAGUAGAUCGUGUGACGUGUAUAUUGAAGAUUUGUGAUACAAGACAGUCUAUGAUAUUUUUAGACAUGUCGUAAUGCUCGCAUAUUUUUGGUGGAUGUUGAGUAUACAUGGAUUCCGAGUACUUGUGGUAGAUGUGGACACUUAGGAUAUAAAGAAAAAAGAUGUCUACUCCCAGCUGUCCAAAAGAAUGUGGAAACACUUUCAGUGGAUGAGGUGCUAAAUGAAGAUCGUGGGGUUGAGCCGAAUAAGGAACAGUCAUGAUAAGAGGUGAUACAAGUUGAAGAUUCAGAAGCGGAUUUGGUUUUAGCUUCUACUGAUCAUAUUUUAGAGCCCACUAAUGGGACAGAGAUUGAGCAAUUGCAAUCAGAAAAGGGUGUUGAGCUUAAGGUUCUUUCAACGCCAGUAAAGCUAUCCGUCCACUCUAAGGUAACAAUAGCUAAUGGCUCCAACUCUCAAUCCACUACACCACCAUUUGCAGGUACCCCUCCUGCUCCAGAUGAAUUAACUAUUAUGGAAGAAAUUCCAUCUCAUAUUAUUGUUUCCGAGACCAAUUUGGAAUCAGGAGACAAUUCAUUGGCUUUUAUGUACACACCUACACAUGGCAGCCCUUUUCACAAUGACAUUGGGCAAUUCAGUGUUCAUGAUGUUGGAGAUGGGAUGAUGAGUGAUGCUAUGGCAAAUCUCAACAUAUCAAGAGGUGGGAGGCCAAUAAAACCAGUUCAGAAAUAUCAAGAUAUGGAUUGAACUAUGGUACGAGGGAAAGGUAAACGAGGUCGAGGUCAUCGAGGCCGUGGAUACCACACUCCCUAGUGUUUGGUCUUUUCUUAUCUUGUUUUAUUAAGCUUAUAUCCCACAAGUUUCUCUUUUCUAAGUUAUUGCUUAGCUCCAUGUGGGAAAUGUGUCUCAUCAUGCUUUUUAAAACUUUAUGGUUUCAAAACCAUACAUUGUAUGUUUUAUGUUUUUAAUUUGAAUACCCUUUCUCAAAAAAAAAAAAGAAUAUUCAACUUAGCCAGAAGACAUGGGCCAUGGCUACAUACACAUACACAUCCAGUAACCAAGAAAAUAGCUCACUAGACUUUCUCUGCUAUUCGGGUUCACCUCUGGUCAGACCAGAAAGAUCUCAAACCGCCUGCUUUGCUUGUCCUGAGCAAAGCAACAAUGGAGACAUAUCUAACAUCAACUACCCCCAUCAAUCAAAAUCUGAAACUUCAAUACAAAAGAAAGCAUAAGGGUUUUGUUCCAAAAAGAGGCAGAACGGUGACUAGUGUAGCAUCACGCCUCACUGGAGAUGACACUGUCUACAACGUGAGCAUCAAUGCACCAAAAGGGUUACGAGUCAGAGUGAUACCAAGAAGUCUACACUUCAAGAAUAUAGGAGAUACGCUAAGAUACCAAGUGAUCUUUUCAUCUUCUACAUCCACACUUAAAGAAGAUGCGUUUGGUUCAAUCACAUGGUCUAAUGGAAUGUACAGAGUUAGAAGUCCGUUCGUUGUAACAAGCAAAGCUGAUAUAUAAUAUGUUUUUCAUAAAACAUAUAAUAAAAGAGAAAUAAGGUUUGUUACACACUCAAUUAUUCAAACCAAAAGAAAAAAGAGACAACAUAACACAACUUCAAGUCACUCAAAGGCCCAUGCAUUCUCCUUGCGAACCUCAGCUUCUUCCGCAUCUGUGUAGUCUUUCUUGAUGUGGAAGAUUUCGCGAAUCUGAAGCACAGUCUUGCCUCUCAUCAUAUCGGCCACAGUCUUGGUCGUUAGGUCAAGAAGUCCAGGGAUGUUCAGAAAGUUUGCAGCCUACAAAACAUAUCAUCAAAACCCUAACAGAAUCAUGCAUGAUUAGAAACCGUAAUUGGCUAAUAAAGCGUGACUCACAAGCAUGAGAUCAAAGAGGAGAGGCUGGUCGACUUUGACGAAAUCUUCGUCCCAAGUCUUGAGCUCGAUGUCUUCGUUAGCACCGUAGAUGUCUUUGUCUCCGGCGUUGGCUCCGGCGGCUGCGGCUGCUUCGACGUGUUUCUUGCAGUAGUCGAUAACCUUGCUGAGGGUUGCACUGUUGACGUUUGCAAGAGGGAUUCCGCCAUCGGUGCAGUCGUCCUCGAUCAUGUUCUUGAUCGUCUGACACUCGAGCGCAACGGCUUCAUCGACCUCGAAAGAUUCGCCUUCGGAGCUCUCGAGGAUGAUCUUCUUCGACAUAGUUGGCAGAAUAUUAUAAAAGGCAGAGAGGGAGAUGAGAUGAUGAAUGAAUACAAAAGGUGUGGUGGAUUGGUGCUUUAUUUAUAGGACCUGAUUGUUAAAACUAGAGAAUCUAAAUUAUAUAUUAACGUUGGUUUGUUGUUAUCCAGGAAAUGAAGAAAAAAAAAUGUAAAUAUAUACUUCCAAAAUUUAAUAUGAAAUUUCCAUCUUCGGAUGAUGCUACGGGUGAAAAAGCUUUCAAAAUUGUAAAGUAAUUUUGGAAAAUAAGGAAAGGUAAAUUCAAAGAUUUUUUUUUGGGUGAAAUUAGGAACUAUUACUAGGCUGUAAAUUUAAAUACACUUAAUAUAGACCUGGCUUACAAUGUACUAAAAGAAUAAAUAUAUAUCUUGAAAUAAAAAUAUCUUUUUCAAAUUAAAAAAUAUGAUUUCUUGCCUUGUUUAUAAUGCAAUUUAUAGACAUAUAUCGUUAAGGUUGUCAAGCUGACAUGUCUUAGGAUAGGGCUGGACAUAAAUAUCUGCACCCAAAAAACUGAUAUGGAACUGAUUCGAAAAUCAGGAUAUCCGACCCGAUCGGAUCUUGCCUAAAUAUCCAAAAUGAUUCUUUUUUCAAAACCCAAAAAAACUGAGAAGGAAUCCAAUCCGCAAUGAAAAUCGAAUGAGUAUCCAAAAUAUCCAAAUAUGUAAAUAUAUAAUAUAUAUAUAUAUAUAUAUAUUAUUUAUAAUUAUGUUUAUAUUAAUACCUAAAAUUAAAAUUAUAAAUCAAAUAUUUUAGUUAUUUUGGGUAUAUAUAGAUAGAAAUUAAUGUUUUGGAUAAAAAAUACCCAUAAAACAUUCUAUCUAUAGUUGUUGUCAAAAAAAAAAACUUUGUAUAUAUGGUUACUUUUAGAUAAAAAAUAACCAAUUCGAACAAUAUAUAUAUUGAGUAUUUUUGGGUUUUUAGUUAUUUUAGAUAAGUUUGAGUAGUUUAGAUAUAAAAUACCGGAGUUGAAUUGAGUAGUUUGGUUACUUUAGUAAAACCCGAACCCACCCGGAUCAGGGAGGACCCGACUCGAACCCAAUCUGAUUUUCUAUAAGAUCCGAAUAAGAACAUUUUUUAAAACACAAAUAAUCAGAUAUCCGAAUGGGUAGUACUAUACCCGAAUGGGUAUCCGAACGCCUAUGUCUAAGUUAGGAUGUGACUAGACUAUCUAACUAGAAAACCAAAUUCUACAUGAGCUAGGUAGUAUGGGGGUAUCAGCAGAACCGUCUUUAACCAAUUUAAUAGUUUUGGUGAAAUAUUGAUAUGGGCUCUUUUAUAAACAUUUUCUUUAACUUUUCUUUAUUGAAUUUUCUUAAGUUGAACAAUAUAAUUUUUUCAUCGGAAAAAUUAUAAAAUAGUGAAACAUACAACUAAUUUAUAGGGUUUUGUAUUUUUGUUGUGUGUGAGUUAGUUUUAGUUGAUUAUGGACAUUAUAUUAUAAUGUUACCAAGUAUUUAGUCUUUUAACAAUUUAAAAUACAAAUGCUAAAGUAACUUCUGGUAUGGCUGAUUUUCUCGACAUAAAUGGAAGAGAUUCAAAAACUGAAGAGAAGAUUUUAGGAUAAGCUUAUACUUCUCGGAAACAGAAUAGGACUGCAUGAUCAUUUAGCUAGAUCUGUUCGAUCUUUUUUCAUAUGUCUCUUUCUUAUGUUGGUUAUUCCAUUUUAGACUGAUUAACCAGACCACUUUAAAAUUGAGUAAUAAAAUGUUUUUUGUUGUAAAAAGAGAAGUUGAAAUACACCUCUAUAAUUAAUAAAAUAACUCUAAAAAUAAUUGUGGGCCCGUGUAUCCAGAGGGCAACCUCCCGUGUAGUCAAGAGUCGGGACUGCAUAUCGGCAAUAUUACUCUUGCAUUAUUUUGUAACGAUGGUCAUGAUACUUACUGCCCAAUUAAGAUUAUGCAUCGGUGCUAUGGCAACUGCUAACUUAAUAAUGAAAGCCAAACGAUCAUGCGCUCGGAGCUUCUCUCAUCAAAAACAAAAAACUAAUGAAGCAAAAUAUAUAUACCCUAGUAGAUCUCGUGACGUGUAUAUUGAACAUUUGUGAUACAAGACUAUGAUAUUUUUAGACUUGGCUAGAUGUGUACUCGUUGUAUUGCUCGCAUAUCCACCCUUUGAGUUGAUGAUCAAAUAAACAACCAACAUAGAAUAUUCAACUUAGCCAGAAGACAUGGGCCAUGGCUAGAUACACAUACACAUCCAGUAACCAAGAAAAAUAGCUCACUAGACUUUCUCUGCUAUCCGGGUUCACUUCUGAUCAGAUCAGAAAGAUCUCAAACCGCAUAGCAUAAGGCUUUGCUUGUCCUGAGCAAAGCAACAAGGGAGACAUAUCUAACAUCAACUACCCCAUCAAUCUAAGUCUCAAACUUCAAUGGAGAAGAAAGCAGAAGGGUUUUGUUGGAAAAAAAAGAUGAAGGGUGACUAGUGUAGCAUCACGCCUCACUGGAGAUGACACUGUCGACAACGUGAGCAUCAAUGCACCAAAAGGGUUACGAGUCAGAGUGAUACCAACAAGUCUACACUUCAAGAAGAAGAUAGGAGAUACACUAAGCUACCAAGGGAUCUUUUCAUCUUCUACAUCUACACUUAAAGAAGAUGCGUUUGGUUCAAUCACAUGGUCUAAUGGAAUGUACAGAGUUAGAAGUCCGUUCGUUGUAACAAGCAAAGCUGAUAUAUAAUAUGUUUUUAUUAAACCAUAUAAUAAAAGAUAAAUAAGGUUUGUUACACACUUAAUUAUUCAAACCAAAAGAGAAAAGAAACAACAUAGCACAACUUCAAGUCACUCAAAGGCCCAUGCAUUCUCCUUGCGCAUCUUAGCUUCUUCCGCAUCUGUAUAGUCGUUCUUGAUGUGGAAGAUAUCGCGAAUCUGAUCUACAGUCUUGCCGCUCACCAUUUCGGCCACACUCUUGCACGUUAGGUCAAAAAGUCCACCGAUGUUCAGAGAAUGUGCAGCCUACAAAAUAUCAUCAAAAGACUCAAUCUUUACUACAUUCUAAAACCCUAAUUGGCUAAGAACACAAAGGGAAAGUGAACGAGUGACUUACAGAGGCGACAGCGAAGAAAGCAUCCUUGUCGAGGCCCUCGAGAGCUCUGGCGAAAUCUAAGUCCCAAGCCUUGAGCUCAGUGUCAUCAGCGUUGGCUUCGACGUGCUUCUUGCAGUACUCGAUAACCUUUGCGAGGGCUGCACUGUUCACGUUUGGAAUAGUGAUUCCAUUACCGGUGCGGUCGUCUUCGAUCAUGCGCUUGAUUCUCGGAGACAUGAGCGCAACGGCUUCAUCGACCUGGAAAGAUAUGCCGUCGGAGCUCUUGAGGGUGAUCUUCUUCGACAUAGUUGCAGAGUAUUCGAAAAGAUAGAGAGGGAAAUGAUGAAUGAAUACAAAGGUUGGUGAAUUGGUGCUUUAUUUAUAGGACCUAAUGGUUAAAGCUAACUAUAAAUCUUAAUUAAUUAUAUUGUAUUAAAGUUAGCAUGUUGAUAUCCUUCUAUAUAUUACUUCUUAUUUUUUUUUAUCAAGUUGAUAUCCUUCUAUUACUAUAAUAAAUAAAAAAGGAAAAGAAAAACUGUAAAUAUUACAUUCCAUAUAUUAAUAUAAUACUAGAAUAAGACAUGCGCUUUGCAUGAAAAUUAUUUAAGAAAUAUCGUAUGAAAAAAUAUCGAAUUAAUAUUUUUGGUCCUUAAACAAAAUCUUAAUUUUUUUUUGUUAAUUACAUAAUUUGUUUAUUAAUGAGCUGAUCCCAUUUUCAAAAAUAUUUUAGGUCAAAAAAAUCACUUAUCGCGUAAGAGCCUAACGUUUAGGCCAAAGAAUCUUAGGCAAACUAUGUGGUUAGAAUGAAACUAUGUCAAGUCGGUUUUAUAUCAUGAUUUAGCAAUUUAAAAGUUAAUUGUGGUUAUGAGAAGUUUAACGUUCACGUGUCAAUCAUAUAUUCUUCAAUAUUUUUCUCAAUUUUGUGUCACUUUUUCAUUUUGGUUAUUGCUCGAUAUAAAUAUUGAUUUUUGAAUUUAUUCUCAUUUCGUUAUUUUAUUUUGGCCUGAGAUUUAGAAAAUGUUUAAGAUUUAAAAUUAUUGAAGAGAUACAUGCUUACGUUAAGAUAUGCGCCUUGUGCAGAAUAAAUAUUUUAUAUUUAUUAAUGAUUUUAUGUUUUCCUGCAUAUUUAUUUUAUAUUUUUCUGCAUAUUAUGAAAUAAUAAUUAUAUAUUAAAUAACUAAAAAAUCAGUUACUAUUAAAUUGGUGUGCGCAUAUAAAUCAAACGACUGUUCUUGUUUAUUCACAAUCAUUUUAGUGUAAAUAAAUCAAAACAAUCAAUCUUAUCUAUCGUAUAUGAUAUAUAAUUAAAUUUAAAUUAUAUUAACAUAUAUAUAUAUAGUAUACUUUUAAUAUGAAUAUUUAUUAAAUAAGGUUUCUACUCAUAUGAUUUUCUAAUUAUUUGCAUAUUUGUGUAACAAAAUUUUAGACUAAUUAACUCCAUGAGAAACCUGUUACAGCCUGAUAUUGCAGCUCCAGGGGUCAACAUACUAGCAUCAUGGCUAAUAGGUGACUUAAAUGCCGCACCACAAGGCAAAGAACCGCCACUUGUCAACAUCGAAUCAGGGACUUCAAUGUCAUGUCCCCAUGUCUCAGGGAUAGCCGCUCGUCUCAAAUCUGAAAACCCUUCAUGGAGUCCUGCAGCAAUAAGAUCCGCUAUCAUGACAACAGGUAAGAACACGGUUAGGGAUUACAGAAUCAAUCAUAACCACUAGUCUUAACAUUGUCUGUAUCUGCAGCCGUGCAAAUAACCAACACAGGAUCACAUAUAACUACAGAAACAGGAGACAAAGCCACACCUUAUGACUUUGGUGCUGGUCAGGUUACCAUAUUUGGACCUUCGUCACCUGGACUGGUUUACGAAACCAAUCAAAUAGACUACCUGAACUUCCUCUGCUAUGUCGGCUUCACUUAUGAUCAGAUCAAAAGGAUAUCAACCCGUAUACCACAAGGCUUUGCUUGUCCUGUACAAAGCAGCAAGGGAGACAUAUCUGACAUCAACUACCCAUCAAUCUCAGUUUCGAACUUCAAUGGAGAAGAAAGCAGAAGGGUAAGCAGGACAGUGACUAACGUAGCAUCACGCCUCAUUGGAGAG
RNAcentral lists this long non-coding RNA (10764 nucleotides) under Brassica napus (rape). RNAcentral describes it as "long non-coding RNA (BNAP_LNC005981)". The record is from RNAcentral. Lineage: Eukaryota; Viridiplantae; Streptophyta; Magnoliopsida; Brassicales; Brassicaceae.